This 1343-nucleotide ribosomal RNA is filed under the name uncultured bacterium. Its description in RNAcentral is "16S ribosomal RNA". It matches the Rfam family "Bacterial small subunit ribosomal RNA", at positions 28 to 1378 of the family's 1533-position model. The record is from RNAcentral.
GACGAACGCUGGCGGCGUGCUUAACACAUGCAAGUCGAACGGAAAGGCCCUGCUUUUGUGGGGUGCUCGAGUGGCGAACGGGUGAGUAACACGUGAGUAACCUGCCCUUGACUUUGGGAUAACUUCAGGAAACUGGGGCUAAUACCGGAUAGGAGCUCCUGCUGCAUGGUGGGGGUUGGAAAGUUUCGGCGGUUGGGGAUGGACUCGCGGCUUAUCAGCUUGUUGGUGGGGUAGUGGCUUACCAAGGCUUUGACGGGUAGCCGGCCUGAGAGGGUGACCGGCCACAUUGGGACUGAGAUACGGCCCAGACUCCUACGGGAGGCAGCAGUGGGGAAUAUUGCACAAUGGGCGGAAGCCUGAUGCAGCAACGCCGCGUGCGGGAUGACGGCCUUCGGGUUGUAAACCGCUUUCGCCUGUGACGAAGCGUGAGUGACGGUAAUGGGUAAAGAAGCACCGGCUAACUACGUGCCAGCAGCCGCGGUGAUACGUAGGGUGCGAGCGUUGUCCGGAUUUAUUGGGCGUAAAGGGCUCGUAGGUGGUUGAUCGCGUCGGAAGUGUAAUCUUGGGGCUUAACCCUGAGCGUGCUUUCGAUACGGGUUGACUUGAGGAAGGUAGGGGAGAAUGGAAUUCCUGGUGGAGCGGUGGAAUGCGCAGAUAUCAGGAGGAACACCAGUGGCGAAGGCGGUUCUCUGGGCCUUUCCUGACGCUGAGGAGCGGAAGCGUGGGGAGCGAACAGGCUUAGAUACCCUGGUAGUCCACGCUGUAAACGGUGGGUACUAGGUGUGGGGUCCAUUCCACGGGUUCCGUGCCGUAGCUAACGCUUUAAGUACCCCGCCUGGGGAGUACGGCCGCAAGGCUAAAACUCAAAGGAAUUGACGGGGCCCCGCACAAGCGGCGGAGCAUGCGGAUUAAUUCGAUGCAACGCGUAGAACCUUACCUGGGUUUGACAUGGAUCGGGAGUGCUCAGAGAUGGGUGUGCCUCUUUUGGGGUCGGUUCACAGGUGGUGCAUGGCUGUCGUCAGCUCGUGUCGUGAGAUGUUGGGUUAAGUCCCGCAACGAGCGCAACCCUUGUUCACUGUUGCCAGCACGUUAUGGUGGGGACUCAGUGGAGACCGCCGGGGUCAACUCGGAGGAAGGUGGGGAUGACGUCAAGUCAUCAUGCCCCUUAUGUCCAGGGCUUCACGCAUGCUACAAUGGCUGGUACAGAGAGUGGCGAGCCUGUGAGGGUGAGCGAAUCUCGGAAAGCCGGUCUCAGUUCGGAUUGGGGUCAGCAACUCGACCUCAUGAAGUCGGAGUCGCUAGUAAUCGCAGAUCAGCAACGCUGCGGUGAAUACGUUCCCGGG